Molecule: small nucleolar RNA, 49 nt
Filed under: Pyrobaculum aerophilum str. IM2
Lineage: Archaea; Thermoproteati; Thermoproteota; Thermoprotei; Thermoproteales; Thermoproteaceae
Description: PAEsR114
Source: RNAcentral
GUGAUGAACACGACCGCUGUUGAGAGGUGAUUGAGGUAUGCAGCGCUGA